GAGUUUGAUCAUGGCUCAGAACGAACGCUGGCGGCAGGCCUAACACAUGCAAGUCGAGCGCUGUAGCAAUACAGAGCGGCGCACGGGUGAGUAACACGUGGGAACGUGCCCUUUGGUUCGGAAUAACUCAGGGAAACUUGAGCUAAUACCGGAUGAGCCCUAACGGGGAAAGAUUUAUCGCCGAAGGAGCGGCCCGCGUCGGAUUAGCUAGUUGGUGGGGUAAUGGCCUACCAAGGCUACGAUCCGUAGCUGGUUUGAGAGAACGACCAGCCACACUGGGACUGAGACACGGACCAGACUCCUACGGGAGGCAGCAGUAAGGAAUAUUGGACAAUGGCCGCAAGGCUGAUCCAGCCAUGCCGCGUGCAGGAUGAAGGUGCUCUGCAUUGUAAACUGCUUUUGUUCGGGAAUAAACCCUUCACGUGUGGAGGGCUGAAUGUACCGAAAGAAUAAGGGUCGGCUAACUUCGUGCCAGCAGCCGCAGUAAU
This 488-nucleotide ribosomal RNA is filed under the name uncultured Alphaproteobacteria bacterium. RNAcentral describes it as "bacterial SSU rRNA". It matches the Rfam family "Bacterial small subunit ribosomal RNA", at positions 9 to 524 of the family's 1533-position model. Lineage: Bacteria; Pseudomonadati; Pseudomonadota; Alphaproteobacteria. The record is from RNAcentral.